RNAcentral lists this ribosomal RNA (133 nucleotides) under Pteropus vampyrus (large flying fox). The record is from RNAcentral. Lineage: Eukaryota; Metazoa; Chordata; Mammalia; Chiroptera; Pteropodidae.
UCCUGGCAAAAACCCAGUGAGAAACGUACUGUUGUAGUUUUGUAGAUAAGAAAACUGGUAUCUCAGAAGCUAAGCAGGGUCGAGCCUGGUUAGUACUUGGGAGACCACCUAGGAAGACCAGGUGCUAUAGGCG